RNAcentral lists this ribosomal RNA (441 nucleotides) under uncultured bacterium. RNAcentral describes it as "partial 16S ribosomal RNA". It matches the Rfam family "Bacterial small subunit ribosomal RNA", at positions 338 to 795 of the family's 1533-position model. The record is from RNAcentral.
CCUACGGGAGGCAGCAGUGGGGGAUAUUGCACAAUGGGGGAAACCCUGAUGCAGCGACGCCGCGUGGGUGAAGAAGGAUUUCGGUAUUUAAAGCCCUAUCAGCAGGGAAGAAAGAAGACGUUACCUGACUAAGAAGCCCCGGCUAACUACGUGCCAGCCGCCUCGGUAAUACGUAGGGGGCGAGCGUUAUCCGGAUUCACUGGGUGUAAAGGGAGCGUAGACGGCAGUGCAAGCCAGGAGUGAAAGCCCGGGGCACAACCCCGGGACUGCUUUUGAAACUGUGCGGCUAGAGUGCGGGAGCGGCAGGCGGAAUUCCUGGUGUAGCGGUGAAAUGCGUAGAUAUCAGGCGGAACACCGGCGGCGAAGGCGGCCUGCUGGACCGCGACUGACGUUGAGGCUCGAAAGCGUGGGGAGCGAACAGGAUUAGAUACCCUUGUAGUC